Molecule: ribosomal RNA, 216 nt
Filed under: Glomeromycotina sp.
Lineage: Eukaryota; Fungi; Glomeromycota
Description: partial small subunit ribosomal RNA
Rfam family: Eukaryotic small subunit ribosomal RNA (bases 44-216)
Source: RNAcentral
GGGUCAGUAGGUUGGUCGUGCCACCGGUACGUACUGGUCUCACUGAUUCCUCCUUCCUGAAGAACCGUAAUGCCAUUAAUUUGGUGUUGCGGGGAAACAGGACUGCUACUUUGAAAAAAUUAGAGUGUUUAAAGCAAGCUAACGCUUGAAUACAUUAGCAUGGAAUAAUGAAAUAGGACGAUCGAUCCCAUUUUGUUGGUUUCUAGGAUUGACGUA